Molecule: ribosomal RNA, 537 nt
Filed under: Acidobacteriota bacterium
Lineage: Bacteria; Pseudomonadati; Acidobacteriota
Description: partial 23S ribosomal RNA
Rfam family: Bacterial large subunit ribosomal RNA
Source: RNAcentral
GGGAUUCGUAGAACUUCUGGAGGUCGCCACCACCAUGAACGGUGGUGGACGCUACCGGACGGUCUUCGUAGGCGAGGUUGUAUCGAGAAUCCUCAGAGACCAUAUGCCGAACACUCAUUCCGGAAACUGAUCCAGGAACGAGUGAAGAGAUGGUCCGAUCUGCAUGGCGACAUGCAGAGCCAGGCAGAAAUGCCCUGGCCCUCGAUUGGGAGACAGCUCCCGAUCGGCGGUAACAGAGAUGUCGGUCCCUAUCCGGUGUAGCCGUAGGAAAUCUGAGGAAGGCUGUCCCUAGUACGAGAGGACCGGGACGGACGCAGCUCUCGUGUGCCAGUUGUCCUGCCAAGGGCACGGCUGGUUGGCGACCUGCGGAAGGGAUAAGCGCUGAAAGCAUCUAAGUGCGAAGCUCGUUCCAAGAUGAGAUUUCCCACUGGGUUAGCCAGGUAAGUCCCGUGGUAGACGACCACGUUGAUAGGCCGGAGGUGUACGCACAGCAAUGUGUUCAGCCGACCGGUACUAAUCGGACGAGGGCUUGGGGAC